CUGUUGCAUUUUCCAUAGGUUUAUUUGCUACCUUUACUUAUUUUCAUUUGUAGUAUUUUUUGCUUAUUUUUAAAUGCAUAAAAUGGUGGUGUUUAGUCCGUAGGCGUAAUUGAAUUACGAAUCGGGCAUAUCUUUAGCGCCGGCGCUAAAGAUAUCUUUGGAAGAUUUACCGGCCAGAGUCC
Molecule: non-coding RNA, 182 nt
Organism: Drosophila persimilis
Lineage: Eukaryota; Metazoa; Arthropoda; Insecta; Diptera; Drosophilidae
Source: Rfam